RNAcentral lists this ribosomal RNA (253 nucleotides) under uncultured bacterium. Its description in RNAcentral is "partial 16S ribosomal RNA". It matches the Rfam family "Bacterial small subunit ribosomal RNA", at positions 524 to 776 of the family's 1533-position model. The record is from RNAcentral.
UACAGAGGUCUCAAGCGUUGUUCGGAUUCAUUGGGCGUAAAGGGUGUGUAGGUGGCGCCGUAAGUCGGGUGUGAAAUUUCGGAGCUUAACUCCGAAACUGCAUUCGAUACUGCGGUGCUUGAGGACUGGAGAGGAGACUGGAAUUCAUGGUGUAGCAGUGAAAUGCGUAGAGAUCAUGAGGAACACCGGUGGCGAAGGCGGGACUCUGGGCCGAUACUGACGCUGAGGAGCGAAAGCGUGGGGAGCAAACAGG